This 252-nucleotide ribosomal RNA is filed under the name uncultured bacterium. RNAcentral's name for it is "partial 16S ribosomal RNA". It matches the Rfam family "Bacterial small subunit ribosomal RNA", at positions 524 to 776 of the family's 1533-position model. The record is from RNAcentral.
UACGUAGGGGGCAAGCGUUGUCCGGAAUCAUUGGGCGUAAAGAGCGCGUAGGCGGUCCGGUAAGUCGGUUGUGAAAACUGGGGCUCAACCCUCAGAGGCCGACCGAUACUGUCGGGCUAGAGUCCGGAAGAGGCGAGUGGAAUUCCUGGUGUAGCGGUGGAAUGCGCAGAUAUCAGGAGGAACACCAAUGGCGAAGGCAGAUCUCUGGGCCGUAACUGACGCUGAGGAGCGAAAGCAUGGGGAGCGAACAGG